This 468-nucleotide ribosomal RNA is filed under the name uncultured bacterium. RNAcentral describes it as "partial 16S ribosomal RNA". It matches the Rfam family "Bacterial small subunit ribosomal RNA", at positions 28 to 507 of the family's 1533-position model. The record is from RNAcentral.
GAUGAACGCUGGCGGCGUGCUUAACACAUGCAAGUCGAACGGUGAAGGCGGAGCUUGCUCUGCUGGAUCAGUGGCGAACGGGUGAGUAACACGUGAGCAAUCUGCCCCUGACUCUGGGAUAAGCGCUGGAAACGGCGUCUAAUACUGGAUACGAGCUGCGAAGGCAUCUUCAGCAGCUGGAAAGAACUUCGGUCAGGGAUGAGCUCGCGGCCUAUCAGCUUGUUGGUGAGGUAACGGCUCACCAAGGCGUCGACGGGUAGCCGGCCUGAGAGGGUGACCGGCCACACUGGGACUGAGACACGGCCCAGACCCCUACGGGAGGCAGCAGUGGGGAAUAUUGCACAAUGGGCGAAAGCCUGAUGCAGCAACGCCGCGUGAGGGACGACGGCCUUCGGGUUGUAAACCUCUUUUAGCAGGGAAGAAGCGAAAGUGACGGUACCUGCAGAAAAAGCGCCGGCUAACUACGUG